UGCCAGCAGCCGCGGUAAUACGUAGGUGGCGAACGUUGUCCGGAUUCACUGGGCGUAAAGCGCGCGCAGGCGGGUUAUCAAGUCAUGUGUGAAAGCUCCCGGCUAAACUGGGAGAGGUCAGAUGAUACUGAUAGCCUGGAGUGCAUCAGAGGUAAGUGGAAUUCCGCGUGUAGUGGUGAAAUGCGUAGAUAUGCGGAGGAACACCAGUGGCGAAGGCGGCUUACUGGGAUGCAACUGACGCUGAGGCGCGAAAGCAUGGGUAGCGAACGGGAUUAGAUA
This 279-nucleotide ribosomal RNA is filed under the name uncultured bacterium. RNAcentral describes it as "partial 16S ribosomal RNA". It matches the Rfam family "Bacterial small subunit ribosomal RNA", at positions 506 to 784 of the family's 1533-position model. The record is from RNAcentral.